RNAcentral lists this ribosomal RNA (490 nucleotides) under uncultured bacterium. Its description in RNAcentral is "partial 16S ribosomal RNA". It matches the Rfam family "Bacterial small subunit ribosomal RNA", at positions 30 to 507 of the family's 1533-position model. The record is from RNAcentral.
AUUGAACGCUGGCGGCAGGCCUAACACAUGCAAGUCGAACGGUAACAGGAAGAAGCUUGCUUCUUUGCUGACGAGUGGCGGACGUGUGAGUAAUGUCUGGGAAACUGCCUGAUGGAGGGGGAUAACUACUGGAAACGGUAGCUAAUACCGCAUAACGUCGCAAGACCAAAGAGGGGGACCUUCGGGCCUCUUGCCAUCGGAUGUGCCCAGAUGGGAUUAGCUAGUAGGUGGGGUAACGGCUCACCUAGGCGACGAUCCCUAGCUGGUCUGAGAGGAUGACCAGCCACACUGGAACUGAGACACGGUCCAGACUCCUACGGGAGGCAGCAGUGGGGAAUAUUGCACAAUGGGCGCAAGCCUGAUGCAGCCAUGCCGCGUGUAUGAAGAAGGCCUUCGGGUUGUAAAGUACUUUCAGCGGGGAGGAAGGGAGUAAAGUUAAUACCUUUGCUCAUUGACGUUACCCGAAGAAGAAGCACCGGCUAACUCCGUG